UACGUAGGUGGCAAGCGUUGUCCGGAUUUACUGGGCGUAAAGGGCUCGUAGGCGGCCAACUAAGUCAGACGUGAAAUCCCUCGGCUUAACCGGGGAACUGCGUCUGAUACUGGAUGGCUUGAGUUUGGGAGAGGGAUGCGGAAUUCCAGGUGUAGCGGUGAAAUGCGUAGAUAUCUGGAGGAACACCGGUGGCGAAGGCGGCAUCCUGGACCAACACUGACGCUGAGUGAGCGAAAGCCAGGGGAGCAAACGGG
Molecule: ribosomal RNA, 254 nt
Filed under: uncultured bacterium
Lineage: Bacteria
Description: partial 16S ribosomal RNA
Rfam family: Bacterial small subunit ribosomal RNA
Source: RNAcentral